UGACUGCGUACCUUUUGUAUAAUGGGUCAGCGACUUAUAUUCUGUAGCAAGGUUAACCGAAUAGGGGAGCCGAAGGGAAACCGAGUCUUAACUGGGCGUUAAGUUGCAGGGUAUAGACCCGAAACCCGGUGAUCUAGCCAUGGGCAGGUUGAAGGUUGGGUAACACUAACUGGAGGACCGAACCGACUAAUGUUGAAAAAUUAGCGGAUGACUUGUGGCUGGGGGUGAAAGGCCAAUCAAACCGGGAGAUAGCUGGUUCUCCCCGAAAGCUAUUUAGGUAGCGCCUCGUGAAUUCAUCUCCGGGGGUAGAGCACUGUUUCGGCAAGGGGGUCAUCCCGACUUACCAACCCGAUGCAAACUGCGAAUACCGGAGAAUGUUAUCACGGGAGACACACGGCGGGUGCUAACGUCCGUCGUGAAGAGGGAAACAACCCAGACCGCCAGCUAAGGUCCCAAAGUCAUGGUUAAGUGGGAAACGAUGUGGGAAGGCCCAGACAGCCAGGAUGUUGGCUUAGAAGCAGCCAUCAUUUAAAGAAAGCGUAAUAGCUCACUGGUCGAGUCGGCCUGCGCGGAAGAUGUAACGGGGCUAAACCAUGCACCGAAGCUGCGGCAGCGACGCUUAUGCGUUGUUGGGUAGGGGAGCGUUCUGUAAGCCUGUGAAGGUGUGCUGUGAGGCAUGCUGGAGGUAUCAGAAGUGCGAAUGCUGACAUAAGUAACGAUAAAGCGGGUGAAAAGCCCGCUCGCCGGAAGACCAAGGGUUCCUGUCCAACGUUAAUCGGGGCAGGGUGAGUCGACCCCUAAGGCGAGGCCGAAAGGCGUAGUCGAUGGGAAACAGGUUAAUAUUCCUGUACUUGGUGUUACUGCGAAGGGGGGACGGAGAAGGCUAUGUUGGCCGGGCGACGGUUGUCCCGGUUUAAGCGUGUAGGCUGGUUUUCCAGGCAAAUCCGGAAAAUCAAGGCUGAGGCGUGAUGACGAGGCACUACGGUGCUGAAGCAACAAAUGCCCUGCUUCCAGGAAAAGCCUCUAAGCAUCAGGUAACAUCAAAUCGUACCCCAAACCGACACAGGUGGUCAGGUAGAGAAUACCAAGGCGCUUGAGAGAACUCGGGUGAAGGAACUAGGCAAAAUGGUGCCGUAACUUCGGGAGAAGGCACGCUGAUAUGUAGGUGAAGUCCCUCGCGGAUGGAGCUGAAAUCAGUCGAAGAUACCAGCUGGCUGCAACUGUUUAUUAAAAACACAGCACUGUGCAAACACGAAAGUGGACGUAUACGGUGUGACGCCUGCCCGGUGCCGGAAGGUUAAUUGAUGGGGUCAGCGCAAGCGAAGCUCUUGAUCGAAGCCCCGGUAAACGGCGGCCGUAACUAUAACGGUCCUAAGGUAGCGAAAUUCCUUGUCGGGUAAGUUCCGACCUGCACGAAUGGCGUAAUGAUGGCCAGGCUGUCUCCACCCGAGACUCAGUGAAAUUGAACUCGCUGUGAAGAUGCAGUGUACCCGCGGCAAGACGGAAAGACCCCGUGAACCUUUACUAUAGCUUGACACUGAACAUUGAGCCUUGAUGUGUAGGAUAGGUGGGAGGCUUAGAAGUGUGGACGCCAGUCUGCAUGGAGCCGACCUUGAAAUACCACCCUUUAAUGUUUGAUGUUCUAACGUUGACCCGUAAUCCGGGUUGCGGACAGUGUCUGGUGGGUAGUUUGACUGGGGCGGUCUCCUCCUAAAGAGUAACGGAGGAGCACGAAGGUUGGCUAAUCCUGGUCGGACAUCAGGAGGUUAGUGCAAUGGCAUAAGCCAGCUUGACUGCGAGCGUGACGGCGCGAGCAGGUGCGAAAGCAGGUCAUAGUGAUCCGGUGGUUCUGAAUGGAAGGGCCAUCGCUCAACGGAUAAAAGGUACUCCGGGGAUAACAGGCUGAUACCGCCCAAGAGUUCAUAUCGACGGCGGUGUUUGGCACCUCGAUGUCGGCUCAUCACAUCCUGGGGCUGAAGUAGGUCCCAAGGGUAUGGCUGUUCGCCAUUUAAAGUGGUACGCGAGCUGGGUUUAGAACGUCGUGAGACAGUUCGGUCCCUAUCUGCCGUGGGCGCUGGAGAACUGAGGGGGGCUGCUCCUAGUACGAGAGGACCGGAGUGGACGCAUCACUGGUGUUCGGGUUGUCAUGCCAAUGGCACUGCCCGGUAGCUAAAUGCGGAAGAGAUAAGUGCUGAAAGCAUCUAAGCACGAAACUUGCCCCGAGAUGAGUUCU
This 2233-nucleotide ribosomal RNA is filed under the name Escherichia coli. Its description in RNAcentral is "bacterial LSU rRNA". It matches the Rfam family "Bacterial large subunit ribosomal RNA", at positions 594 to 2812 of the family's 2925-position model. Lineage: Bacteria; Pseudomonadati; Pseudomonadota; Gammaproteobacteria; Enterobacterales; Enterobacteriaceae. The record is from RNAcentral.